This 440-nucleotide ribosomal RNA is filed under the name uncultured bacterium. RNAcentral describes it as "partial 16S ribosomal RNA". It matches the Rfam family "Bacterial small subunit ribosomal RNA", at positions 338 to 795 of the family's 1533-position model. The record is from RNAcentral.
CCUACGGGCGGCAGCAGUGGGGGAUAUUGCACAAUGGGGGGAACCCUGAUGCAGCGACGCCGCGUGGGUGAAGAAGCGCCUCGGCGCGUAAAGCCCUGUCAGCAGGGAAGAAAAUGACGGUACCUGACUAAGAAGCCCCGGCUAACUACGUGCCAGCAGCCGCGGUAAUACGUAGGGGGCGAGCGUUAUCCGGAUUCACUGGGUGUAACGGGAGCGUGGACGGCCAUGCAAGCCAGGGGUGAAAGCCCGGGGCCCAACCCCGGGACUGCCCUUGGAACUGCAUGGCUGGAGUGCGGGAGGGGCAGGCGGAAUUCCUGGUGUAGCGGUGAAAGGCGUAGAUAUCAGGAGGAACACCGGCGGCGAAGGCGGCCUGCUGGACCGCGACUGACGUGGAGGCUCGAAAGCGUGGGGAGCGAACAGGAUUAGAUACCCUAGUAGUC